This 2044-nucleotide ribosomal RNA is filed under the name Acinetobacter baumannii 273929. Its description in RNAcentral is "bacterial LSU rRNA". It matches the Rfam family "Bacterial large subunit ribosomal RNA", at positions 901 to 2925 of the family's 2925-position model. Lineage: Bacteria; Pseudomonadati; Pseudomonadota; Gammaproteobacteria; Moraxellales; Moraxellaceae. The record is from RNAcentral.
GGUAGAGCACUGUUUCGGCUAGGGGGUCAUCCCGACUUACCAAACCGAUGCAAACUCCGAAUACCUAUGAGUACUAUCCGGGAGACAGACUGCGGGUGCUAACGUCCGUAGUCAAGAGGAAAACAAUCCAGACCGCCAGCUAAGGCCCCAAAAUCAUAGUUAAGUGGGAAACGAUGUGGGAAGGCAUAGACAGCUAGGAGGUUGGCUUAGAAGCAGCCACCCUUUAAAGAAAGCGUAAUAGCUCACUAGUCGAGUCGGCCUGCGCGGAAGAUGUAACGGGGCUAAAACUAUGUGCCGAAGCUGCGGAUUUGACAUUAGUCAAGUGGUAGGGGAGCGUUCUGUAAGCCGAUGAAGGUGUAUUGAGAAGUAUGCUGGAGGUAUCAGAAGUGCGAAUGCUGACGUGAGUAACGACAAAACGGGUGAAAAACCCGUUCGCCGAAAGACCAAGGGUUCCAGUCCAACGUUAAUCGGGGCUGGGUGAGUCGACCCCUAAGGCGAGGCCGAAAGGCGUAGUCGAUGGGAAAAUGGUUAAUAUUCCAUUACUUCUGUGUAAUGCGAUGAGAGGACGGAGAAGGCUAAAUCAGCCUGGCGUUGGUUGUCCAGGUGAAAGGAUGUAGGCAUGUAUCUUAGGCAAAUCCGGGGUACUCUAUGCUGAGAUCUGAUAGCAAGCUGUACUUGUACAGCGAAGUGGUUGAUGCCAUGCUUCCAGGAAAAGUCUCUAAGCUUCAGUUACACAGGAAUCGUACCCGAAACCGACACAGGUGGUCAGGUCGAGUAGACCAAGGCGCUUGAGAGAACUCUGCUGAAGGAACUAGGCAAAAUGGUACCGUAACUUCGGGAGAAGGUACGCUGUUGUUGGUGAUGGAACUCGCUUCCUGAGCUGACGACAGCCGCAGAAACCAGGCCGCUGCAACUGUUUAUUAAAAACAUAGCACUCUGCAAACACGAAAGUGGACGUAUAGGGUGUGAUGCCUGCCCGGUGCUGGAAGGUUAAUUGAUGGGGUUAGCGUAAGCGAAGCUCUUGAUCGAAGCCCCAGUAAACGGCGGCCGUAACUAUAACGGUCCUAAGGUAGCGAAAUUCCUUGUCGGGUAAGUUCCGACCUGCACGAAUGGCAUAAUGAUGGCGGCGCUGUCUCCAGCAGAGGCUCAGUGAAAUCGAAAUCGCUGUGAAGAUGCAGUGUACCCGCGGCUAGACGGAAAGACCCCGUGAACCUUUACUGCAGCUUGACACUGAACUUUGACCUUACUUGUGUAGGAUAGGUGGGAGGCUUUGAAGCUGGAACGCUAGUUCCAGUGGAGCCGUCCUUGAAAUACCACCCUGGUAAUGUUGAGGUUCUAACUCUGUCCCGUGAUCCGGGACGAGGACCGUGUCUGGUGGGUAGUUUGACUGGGGCGGUCUCCUCCUAAAGAGUAACGGAGGAGUACGAAGGUGCGCUCAGCGUGGUCGGAAAUCACGCGUAGAGUAUAAAGGCAAAAGCGCGCUUAACUGCGAGACCCACAAGUCGAGCAGGUACGAAAGUAGGUCUUAGUGAUCCGGUGGUUCUGUAUGGAAGGGCCAUCGCUCAACGGAUAAAAGGUACUCUGGGGAUAACAGGCUGAUACCGCCCAAGAGUUCAUAUCGACGGCGGUGUUUGGCACCUCGAUGUCGGCUCAUCUCAUCCUGGGGCUGAAGCAGGUCCCAAGGGUAUGGCUGUUCGCCAUUUAAAGAGGUACGCGAGCUGGGUUUAGAACGUCGUGAGACAGUUCGGUCCCUAUCUACCGUGGGCGCUGGAAAUUUGAGAGGAUCUGCUCCUAGUACGAGAGGACCAGAGUGGACGAACCUCUGGUGUACCGGUUGUGACGCCAGUCGCAUCGCCGGGUAGCUAUGUUCGGAAGGGAUAACCGCUGAAAGCAUCUAAGCGGGAAGCCUACCUCAAGAUAAGAUUUCCCUAGGACUUUAUGUCCUCUAAAGAGCCGUUCGAGACUAGGACGUUGAUAGGUUGGAUGUGGAAGCAUAGUGAUAUGUGAAGCUGACCAAUACUAAUUGCUCGUGAGGCUUGACUAU